UUACGGCCGUAUCACAUUGAAACACCGGUUCUCGUAUGAUCAGCGAAAUUAAGCAACGUCAAGCCUGGUCAGUAACUAGAUGGGUGACCAUUUGGGCACACCAGGUGCGGUAAG
Molecule: non-coding RNA, 114 nt
Organism: Acanthosepion pharaonis
Lineage: Eukaryota; Metazoa; Mollusca; Cephalopoda; Sepiida; Sepiidae
Source: the annotation of a GenBank genome assembly